GUGAAAUGGGAGGGGUUCGGAGGGUGAUUAUGUAUUUGAGGUUUCUUGAUGGUUAUCCCUGUUUGUCUUACAGAGCGCUGCUUCCUUUCAGUGUGUGUGGGAUGUUUGCUACAGCUGGGUGAGCAGAGAUCUGUUUUCACAUCUCUGAGGCUUGGUGUGGAGCUGUAGGAGAGCAGAUUUUCCUUCAGGAAAGGAACAGGACCGCAUUGACACUGUUGCCACAAGCAAGAUUGAUGGAUCAGACAGCUCUGCUGGCUGCUUACUCUACACUGGCUUUUUCCCAAGGAGGAGCAGGUGUCAUGUUUGAUGUUACAGUAAUUCACAGUGAAAAAGAGAAGCUUGCAAAUGGACCUGGCAAGGCAUAAGUAAAUUGCCUGCUAACAGAUUUGUGUUCUCCAAGCAUCACCUAGGCACAUGAUAGAGAAACAGAGGAUCGGGUUGCAAAGCAGCUUCUUAUCAGGUGAUGUCUCCCAGUGAUAUCACCAAAAGGCCCAGCUAAUGAAACUUCGGCUAAUUUGUCCUCGGUGUUAUUUAUCAGGCAAAGUUUAAAUAGUGCAUUCCUGGGGUGAGCUGUUCUGCUCACCUGACACAAACUGGACAGGUUGUGAUGGGAGGAGAGCUGCCUGUGGUGUUUCUGCUUGUAAUGGGUAGCACAUUAGAGAAUGCGUAGAGAGGCCAUAGGUCUGUUUAAGUUUCAAGAUUUUCCAUUGUACUUUAUGGAGUAAACAUACCUGAUUUUAUUUCAAACAAGAAAUCAGUCUGAAGAAGAGAAUUUCAGCUCCAGAGGCCCCUGUGGCAAAGAUUAAACACUAGAUCACAGCGUCUUAGUUUGGUCUCUGACAGCCCAUAUCAAAGCACCCCCAAGCUCUGAAGCCACAAAGUGUCACUGAGGAAUCUGAUCUUCCACUCCCAGACAGCAUUUCUACACUGGUGCAACUUUGCUGUCUGGCUGCAGUUCCUUCUAGUGAAAGGACAGGUUUAAAGGGGAGCAAGGCCCUAGUUUGGAAUGCCAGGGUUUGGGUACAUUUUUAUAUCAACUCUUUCUCACAGCUUCCUUUAAGAAAUCUUGGGCCAUUCUGCCAUCCAUAAGAAAUUCACCCAGGGUAGCCAAGGGCUAGAUUUGGGUUUGAGUUUUAUGGGACUAUGAUAACAAUAAGCUUCCAUUUUAAAUCCUACAGCCAGACUGAGAAAGAACAGACCUCAUCAUUCUGCUUAAGAGAGCAAAUCUGUAUACAGCCAAGUCUUAGAUGAGGGACCAAAAUUCUGCUCUGCUUCCCAGACUCCUGCUGUUCUGAAAACCAACGAAAUGUAUGCAUUGGCAAAGAGCUGUGCCCAGAGCCUGGCUGUUCUGCAUUACUUCCUAUCAUCUGAAGGCUCAAAUGGCCCUGCCAUUACCUCCUCAUGCCUUGCAAAAAAUAGCAUUCAGUGCACUGGAACGGCUAUUCUUAAAAUGAGGUACUAUAAGGAGUUGGUAAUGGUUGAUGCUAUUGCUAAUGUAGCCAGUGUUGUAAGGUAAAAGGAGCAAUCAGCUCUCUUCUUCAGGGCUUGCAUCUAUUUUCAGAGAGAAAUCACUAAAAAAUGUCAUGUUUAUCAGGUCAAUCAUAGGUUGCUUCAGUUCUCCAAUAUAUCUGGCACUGGUGUGCACUGAAGAUCAUCUGUAACGCUAAAUGGCCCAGAGAUGUCUUCCUCUGAUGGUUUGCUGUGACCCAGUUGACCCUCGCCCAACCAGGAAGGUGUGGGUGAGCUUGGUGUGAAGAAAUCAGUGAUGUUGACUCAUACAGACUGUAUGAGCUACCUGGGGCUUGCUUUCUGUCUUGUACCUGCUUCAGCUGCUUCUCUGGGGCUAUGCUACCCAUUUGUAGCUCUAAUGUGGUAGUUGUCAGCAUAGCCAAAGGUUUAAGAAGGUGAUGGUGACCUGAGGUUCUUGGUUACAAGACAUCUUACACCUGUGUAUUUAGGUCCAUGUGUUUGCUGCCUUAAAAUCAGGCCAGCACAAGAUGUCUCAAGUCAAGUAUGCACAAUAAGCAAGCCUUUUGGAAAAGCAUCAUCAGUUAUGGCUCUUGUUGCAUCCAUUCAAACAAGGAGCAUCAUGCUGCCUGGAGAGGCUCACCUUCCCCACAAGGCAUAGGCUGGCCUGACCUUCCCAGAUUGCCAUUACCCACUUAUCUGGUUUGUGUGUGUAGUUAGACACUGCUUUCACCACCAGGAAACUGAACUUUGGCAGAACCUGGGAUCCUUCAGGGUACCUGCCAGGAGCUCUAACCCCUCAGGAGCACCCAUGAUGCUGAUUUCUCAGUGUCUCUGGCCUCCCACCACCUGCUCCCUUUGGGGUUUCUCCACCUGGCCCUGGUGAUUCACUGCACAGGAGGGUCUCAGGAGGCUCCAUAACUCCUUCCCCUGAGACUCAAUGUCUUGAAGAGAGGACAUCCUGAGGGGUGGGGGGAUAUUUUGUUUGGUUGUGAAUCAGGGAUAACAUAAACCUGGCUUGCUGCUACCUCACAGGCAUAAGGUUUAUGCCAUCCUGGGGGUCAAGAUUGGAAAGGGUACACAUGUGCAACAUCCAAGCAUGACACCAGCCAACUCUUAAGCAGUCUUGUCAGAGUGUCUUCAUAACCUUGUUACUGGCCGGGGCUGUGGGGACCAUGUGUUUGGAGAAUUGAGUGGGGCCCUUUCCUGCCUGGCAAUAAAAUCUAUUCUAAUUAAAACUCCCUGCACAUGUGCUCUAUGAAGGGCAGGGAAAAGCUUUUGCAGCUUGAGGUCAGAACUGACAAAUGAGCUGGUGUGCUCAGAGCGGGUGGCUCGAGGAACACCUGCUGUGGGAGGCUGCCACAAGAGCAGGGAUGGCAGGAAAAUUGAUGGUGACCUUGCAGCACACAUCCAGGGGAGGCACUGAAGGAUAAGCCCAUGCUCUGGGUUUGAAGCUGACGGUACAUGCAACAAAUUCAGCACUGUGUCUCCAACCAGCCUUGGUGGUGUGGAAGGAGAUUGCUGUCUCCCAGAUCAGAGGGAGGAACUGUAGGCAGGAUGCACUGCUGUUCAGCUCCCUGCACCCAAAGUACUGCAGGGCCAGUCCUGACUUUCUCCUACAGGCUCUGGGCUCCCCCUCCCCAUCACUGCUUGAAGGGGUCCCAAGAGGACAGACGCAGUGACUUUCCUUUCUGCACACUGCGUGAAUUCCUCAUGCAGAAUUGUUUCUUUUUCUUUUAUAAUUCUAAGGGGAAAUCCAGAGGUUAGUGCUUUCACAUUCAUGUUUUGUUUGAAAACAUUAAAAAGAAACAGAAUUUUACAUACUUUUGUUUGUUUUUACAACUUUGUCCUCAUUGGACAUAUUUCUACUUUGGAACAUACAGAGUGGAGAAAAACAGGGAAAAUGAAAGGAGAGCCCCUCAAUCUUAUUCAUUCUAUUGCAACUAUUGGCAAGAAAAUAAUGGGGGAAAAAAAGAGUUUUGAAAUGUAAAAAGAAAUGAGUUUUUGAAAAAAAUAGUAGUAAAUCUGUACCUAGCUGAAUAUCAAGAUAUUGCCAGCAGAUUGGAUAAAAAUAUUUGAGAAAUUUUCUCAUUGGAAACAAAUUAUUUUCUGGUUGUUACUGCUACUUGGAUAUUUAUCAGCUUGGCCAUAGGAGUUACUCUUCAAGCAAGGAAAAGAAAUGCACACAAGAUUAGUAACGCUCAGAGCAGCCCCAGGUGUAAUUUUCAGCCAGCAGACCCAGCAGCUUCUGACAACUUUUCAAGACAUUUUUUACAGAACACGUGCCUUGGUAUUUACUAUACUAGACUGAGGAAAAUAGAAAUUCUUUAUAUGUUGGGAGCACACAAGGAAGAAAACACCUAUAAUUUUUCUCCCUACGUAAUGUAUCAUUCACAGAUUGGAAGCCGGUUGAGCAGUGGUUUCUAGUGGUGAGAGCAGGAUAUUGGGUUUCAGGACUCUUGGGCUAAAUUAUCGAAUCUGCUAUUGAUUUGCAGCGUGACCUUGGGCAAGUCAUUUAAAGGGAAAUAUGUAAUUAUUAGUUUCAAUUGGCCGGACUAACUUAUUGUCUGUAGCUUUAUAGCACUUGCUACUUUUCAUAAGAAGGUUUCGGAGGGAUGGUGUCUUGUCUUUGCAAACAUUUUUUCUUGUUUUUAAAGGGUUUGGUUUUUUUUUUUAUUCUCUUCCAUAAAAUAUGUAAUAUGCAAACAAUCCAACAGAGAAAACUAAUAACCCAGACUCUAUGAGUACUUUAGCACAUGCUUCAAGCUAUAUUAAUGAGUAUUUAAUUUGAAUAGAAUGUCUUUGGUUAGUAAACUGCAUAAUUGUAUAUGUACACCAUUGUAGCAUCAGCUUAGAGGACCAAUAAGGAACAAACAAAUACAUGACAAGAUAAGAAAUGUUGUCCUACCUAAUCAUUUACAAAGAGAUAGUAGGAAAAAUGAGGGAUUUGAAGGUGAGGUGAAUUAAUUAUGAAAGUUUUUUGUUUUGUAAUUAGGAAAGGAUUUUACCCAAAGUGAAGAGGGUAAACUGAAAUAAUCUCCAUAUUUUUGUAAAAGAUAAAAACUUUCCAAUAGAUCUUUUUCCUAAAUAAAAAUGUUUUUUGGAUAAAAUAAAAGA
Anas platyrhynchos (mallard) is the source of this 4584-nucleotide long non-coding RNA. RefSeq lists it as uncharacterized. NCBI's taxonomy places the organism in Eukaryota, Metazoa, Chordata, Aves, Anseriformes, Anatidae. The record is from RefSeq and is a predicted model, not a curated record.